This is a long non-coding RNA of Episyrphus balteatus (marmalade hoverfly), 257 nucleotides long. RefSeq lists it as uncharacterized. NCBI's taxonomy places the organism in Eukaryota, Metazoa, Arthropoda, Insecta, Diptera, Syrphidae. The transcript has 2 exons. The record is from RefSeq and is a predicted model, not a curated record.
UCUAACUACUAACCGUACCAAGUCAAAAUGUUUAACUUACAAAAUUUAACAACAUUUGCCCUCAUUGUUGUCAUUGGAUUCCUAAUGAAUCUAGGAAUGGCGGAUGCCGAAACUACUCGUCGUCCACGUUGGAUUUUUCCACUUUUAUAGGUGUUAUGAAAACGUUUUCUGUUUUAACAGUAACUAUUAAUUCUAGCAGUUACUGAGGACCAGUUGUCCAAUAAAACACAUAUAAUUGCAAUCAGAUUAAAAUUCAA